UACGUAGGGGGCAAGCGUUAUCCGGAUUUACUGGGUGUAAAGGGAGCGCAGACGGCAGUGCAAGUCUGGAGUGAAAGCCCGGGGCCCAACCCCGGAACUGCUCUGGAAACUGUGCGGUUAGAGUACUGGAGGGGCAGGCGGAAUUCCUAGUGUAGCGGUGAAAUGCGUAGAUAUUAGGAGGAACACCAGUGGCGAAGGCGGCCUGCUGGACAGUAACUGACGCUGAGGUUCGAAAGCGUGGGUAGCAAACAGG
This 253-nucleotide ribosomal RNA is filed under the name uncultured bacterium. RNAcentral's name for it is "partial 16S ribosomal RNA". It matches the Rfam family "Bacterial small subunit ribosomal RNA", at positions 524 to 776 of the family's 1533-position model. The record is from RNAcentral.